This 68-nucleotide transfer RNA is filed under the name Ondatra zibethicus (muskrat). Its description in RNAcentral is "tRNA-Trp". Lineage: Eukaryota; Metazoa; Chordata; Mammalia; Rodentia; Cricetidae. The record is from RNAcentral.
AGAAGUUUAGGAUAGUAAGUCCAAGAGCCUUCAAAGCCCUGAGCAAACCCAUAAAAGUUUAACUUCUG